RNAcentral lists this ribosomal RNA (340 nucleotides) under Salmonella enterica subsp. enterica serovar Chester. RNAcentral describes it as "partial 23S ribosomal RNA". It matches the Rfam family "Bacterial large subunit ribosomal RNA", at positions 542 to 783 of the family's 2925-position model. Lineage: Bacteria; Pseudomonadati; Pseudomonadota; Gammaproteobacteria; Enterobacterales; Enterobacteriaceae. The record is from RNAcentral.
AAAAGAACCUGAAACCGUGUACGUACAAGCAGUGGGAGCCCCACCACUAAGCCAGUGGUGAACUCCACAUACGCAUCCUUUGCUGAGGAUACGGUUAACGGAGCGAAAGCGACGUUCAACCGCAAAAGAAGCAGAGGGGGCUUAGUGGUGGGGUGACUGCGUACCUUUUGUAUAAUGGGUCAGCGACUUAUAUUCUGUAGCAAGGUUAACCGUAUAGGGGAGCCGGAGGGAAACCGAGUCUUAAUUGGGCGUUAAGUUGCAGGGUAUAGACCCGAAACCCGGUGAUCUAGCCAUGGGCAGGUUGAAGGUUGGGUAACACUAACUGGAGGACCGAACCGAC